ACCCUGGAUAGCUCAGUUGGUUAGAGUAUGGUGCUGACAAUGCCAGGGUUGCAGGUUUGAUCCCUGUAUGGGAUG
Non-coding RNA from Podarcis lilfordi (Lilford's wall lizard), 75 nucleotides. The record is from the annotation of a GenBank genome assembly. NCBI's taxonomy places the organism in Eukaryota, Metazoa, Chordata, Lepidosauria, Squamata, Lacertidae.